RNAcentral lists this transfer RNA (77 nucleotides) under Pseudobdellovibrionaceae bacterium. RNAcentral describes it as "Bdellovibrionaceae bacterium tRNA-Met". It matches the Rfam family "tRNA". From Rfam's summary of the family: Transfer RNA (tRNA) molecules are approximately 80 nucleotides in length. The record is from RNAcentral. Lineage: Bacteria; Pseudomonadati; Bdellovibrionota; Bdellovibrionia; Bdellovibrionales; Pseudobdellovibrionaceae. RNAcentral also lists the same sequence under 1 other name.
GCGGGCAUAGCUUAGUUGGUUAAAGCAUCCGGCUCAUAACCGGAGGAUCCCAGGUUCAAGUCCUGGUGCCCGUACCA